UACGAAGGGGGCUAGCGUUGUUCGGAGUUACUGGGCGUAAAGGGCGCGUAGGCGGCGCAUCAAGUCAGGCGUGAAAGCCCUGGGCUCAACCCGGGAAUUGCGCUUGAGACUGGUGUGCUCGAGUACGGGAGAGGAUAGUGGAAUUCCCAGUGUAGAGGUGAAAUUCGUAGAUAUUGGGAAGAACACCGGUGGCGAAGGCGGCGACCUGGUCCUUGACUGACGCUGAGGCGCGAAAGCGUGGGGAGCAAACAGG
RNAcentral lists this ribosomal RNA (253 nucleotides) under uncultured bacterium. RNAcentral describes it as "partial 16S ribosomal RNA". It matches the Rfam family "Bacterial small subunit ribosomal RNA", at positions 524 to 776 of the family's 1533-position model. The record is from RNAcentral.